Molecule: ribosomal RNA, 468 nt
Filed under: uncultured bacterium
Lineage: Bacteria
Description: bacterial SSU rRNA
Rfam family: Bacterial small subunit ribosomal RNA
Source: RNAcentral
UCCAGACUCCUACGGGAGGCAGCAGUGAGGAAUAUUGGUCAAUGGGCGGGAGCCUGAACCAGCCAAGUCGCGUGAGGGAAGACGGUCCUAUGGAUUGUAAACCUCUUUAGGCGGGGAGCAAUGCCGGGCACGCGUGCCCGGAGGGAGAGUACCCGCAGAAUAAGCAUCGGCUAACUACGUGCCAGCAGCCGCGGUAAUACGUAGGGGGCAAGCGUUAUCCGGAUUUACUGGGUGUAAAGGGAGCGUAGACGGCGGUGCAAGCCAGAUGUGAAAGCCCGGGGCUCAACCCCGGGACUGCAUUUGGAACUGUGCUGCUAGAGUGUCGGAGAGGCAGGCGGAAUUCCUAGUGUAGCGGUGAAAUGCGUAGAUAUUAGGAGGAACACAAGUGGCGAAGGCGGCCUGCUGGACUGCAACUGACGUUGAGGCCCGAAAGCGUGGGGAGCAAACAGGAUUAGAUACCCGUGUACG